Molecule: long non-coding RNA, 970 nt
Filed under: Numida meleagris (helmeted guineafowl)
Lineage: Eukaryota; Metazoa; Chordata; Aves; Galliformes; Numididae
Description: lncRNA (ENSNMEG00000014810.1)
Source: RNAcentral
UUCACCGGCGGGGCCCCGGGUUCGCCGACAGGGCCCGGCCCUCCUAACACCGGCAGCGGGCGCCAGGGGAGCGCCUCCUCCGGCCGGCGGGGGAUUGGCGCCGGGAGGGGCACCCGGGAAGCCGCCCUCACGCUGCGGAGGAGCGGCCGGACUGGGCGCUGCAGGAGCCGGUCCGGAGCCCCGCCGUGCGCUGGUGGCGGGGAGGGGGUCACGGCCACUCACGCGCAAUGGAAGCCCUCAACCGCACGAGCAGGGAGUGCCCAUGGAAAAUAGGCUAACGCAGCCCGUGCCGCUGCUCGUAUCUACAGCCACAGGGGGACCUCGAAAGACAAAACCCGCGGACACAAAGCCAUGGGCAGCUGCUGUUCAUAUCGCUGAAGCUUCCUCCUAACUAGGGCGCAGUGUGAACCAGAUGGAGAUGAUAAGGGACUCACUGCUGUGGAAAGGGUCCAUGUUCUCACAAGAGGAUCACAGCCAGUGCCUCCAUCAGAAUCCCCUUGUGUACAACCUAUUUGCUGAAAAGACAAAGACCUUGAAUAACUUCCUCAUGGCCAACAAGUCUAAGGAAAACGUAGAUGACUCAGAAUGCUGUAAGGACAACUACAAAAACUACAUACAGCAAGCACUGAGAAACAAUGGCUGCUUCUCCUGGGGAGUGGAUCAAGUCAUCAGAUCUACAGAAAAAGAGGACACUGUACUCCCACAAACUGAGAAUUUGGCUGCUGAAUGGAUGGACAGAGCUGAAGCUUGGGAUAGAGCUUCCCUCCUACAAGGAAAGCCUCCCCAGCAGCUCACUCCUGGGAUGCCCACACCUGCUCCAAACCAAGGCUGGCAGAAGAUCUCAUGGCUGGAGCUUUUGGGAACGAGUGAAUCAGAGAUCUUGAUUUUCCCCUCAUUUCAGACAUUUCAGCCUGUGCUGGUCACCAUGCCACAGUCUCAGCAACCUCCUGAAUGCAUGGACAAUUAUUAA